RNAcentral lists this unclassified non-coding RNA (2491 nucleotides) under Hevea brasiliensis (rubber tree). The record is from RNAcentral. Lineage: Eukaryota; Viridiplantae; Streptophyta; Magnoliopsida; Malpighiales; Euphorbiaceae.
GAGCAAAUCAACCUAUUAUAAUGUUUCUUCUACUAGCAAGCCCUCUCUAUAAGUUCUCAACGACAGGAGUUGAUACGCCUCAUCUUCGCAUUUAGCACACAUCAGUAAGCCCAAAUAGGUGAUAAGAAGUUUUACUCUCCAUUAAAAAGUGUGUUCACUUCUUGGUAUGGUUAUAGAAAAAAUAGUAGGAAAACAAUAAAUUAAAUAUGGAAUGUAAUGCAAAUGAAGAUACCAUUCACUGCCACCCUGUAUUUUGAUUAUAAUUAAAAAAAAAGGGCAAGCACUCACCAUAAAAAUCAGACGAAAAUUCGUAACUAUCAAUGUACCAGCUUCAUCGAUAUUAACAAGAACAACUCCACGCCCCUAAAAGCAAAGCCCAAAAAAUUAUUGAAUGCACUUCAUAAAUUUACCAAAAGGAAGACAAUCAAUAAAAUUUUGUAUGUAUAUUGCUCUGAUUCCAUCAUCAUUCAAUAUAGAUAAUGAUGCCCUUGGAAAAGAAGCAAAGAAAACAUUUUCAAUGCUCUAGGUUUCUCAAUGACAAUUAAUAACAUUUAGGGGUGUCAAUGGAGAGCGCCACAUAGCCAAUUUGCCCAACCUAAUCAUGCACAACCUAAAAAUUUUAGGAGUUGACAUUAAGAGUUGAGCCCAAGGUUUAGUCCAAUGUUGGACAAGGUUGGGAUAGUGUUUUGCUUAUAAUUUCAAUAUGUUGGGCCAACCAUAAAUUGGGAAACAUAAUAAAUGGAAAGCCCUAAUAACAUUAUACUCAACACUUUAAAACUAGACUAAAAUUGAUGGACCUGAAGAUUUAAACACAAUCAUUUGACCUAGCCCAGGGUGGCAGAAUCAAAUGGGUUUCCUUCUGGUUAAAAUAUUACACUUGGAUAUUCAGAGGGUAGGAUUCUACACUCAUGAAUUAAAUGAAGCAAAUUGCCAAGAUUACAAUGAUUGCCACUUUUGUUCAGGUUAUUACAAUUUACAACUAAGUGAGUAGCUUAUCCUAGAGCUUGUGCAGUUUAGUUGGGCUUAGCCCCAUUUUAUUCAUCAAAAAUAAAAAAUUAACUAUACUUCAUCAUAUUAUCAUAUUUGUUAAAAUUAUAAAAUUAUGAGUGCAUGUGCAUCACAGUUCAACGCCAAGUCACCCAUAUGUCCUAAAUGGUAUUAAAGCAUAUUGAUACUAGGAGUUGAAGUUAGGACAGGACAGAUCCUAAAUAGAAAGCUAAAAUUACUUUUCUCUGAGCAGUAACAUUCAUUUUUAGUUAGAUUUUAUCAGUUUUCUAGAACAAGACAAUAACAUUCCAGUGGAAAGUGAAACCUACAACCCUACCAGUGGUAUGUAAUUACAUCUUUUCUAUAAUGGAACAAACUUCAACAGUAAUGGAAUAAAGUCUUGCUGAAUAUUUUUAGAUGCCUUACAACUAGGAAAACUCUAAUGUACAUCCUCCAAAGAGAGCAUUAAUGAACACCAGAAAUGAUGCAAGACUUGGAUAGCAUAAGAGGAACAAAGGAAUCAAAAAAGAAGCCAAAACAGGGCAUUCCAGCAGAGGCAGCAGGUUUGCACAGUGAAGUACUGAUACGGUGUUGAAUAAGCGAGUCGCAGCAAAGUAGCCGUUGUAGAAGAAUCUAUCUGUUAGAGGAAAUUGUGGCGUCAGCGGGAACAGUUAUAAUUGUUAGAUUGUUGUUAUAGCUGUUGAGCUUAUGUACACGUGGACCAAUUGUCCAUUAGCUAGCUAUAUAACCUUUGUGAAUUGUGCAACAGAUUCAAUCUUAUCAGUUGGUUGUUAAUGCAAUAGAAGAUUCCUUUUCUGUGUCUUCCAGUUUUUCUUUGUCCAUAUCCUAUUAGCUGGUAUUAGAGCCGGCAAUCCUCAGCAAUAGCAAUGGAGACCUGUUCACAGGAGUGCAGAAAAGAGAUUCAACUCUGGUUCUGGAAUCAGAGCAUAGGCAGGAGACGAAAAUGAAAGUGAGAUUGCAAGAUAUGGUAAAAGAAUUGAAGUCCCUAAUCGCUGGCUUGGGUAAUCAGACCACGGAGCUGGUGGAUAACAAGAAGCUUGAGAAGAUGUCUCAAAACAAUUCAGAACAAUGAAGCUAGUUCGUGCACCAAUAUGGCGAGGGCAAAAUUGGAGUUUCCUCAGUUUAAUGGUGAUGGUUUAGAAGGCUGGUUGUUAAGGGCCGAGUAUUUCUUUGAAGUGGGGUAAGUUCUGCAAGGGAACAAAGUGAAGAUUGCAGCCUUACAUUUGGAAGGAAGGGCUGCCAAGUGGCAUCAGGGUUUUGUUAGAGUAAAAGGGGAAGAUGCGCAUGGUGAUUGGGAAGGCUAUGUAAAUGUGUUGGCUACUAGAUUCGGUAAUCAUGCAUUUGAUGACCCAAUUGCAGCUACGCACAACUUGAGGCAACAAGAUUCUCUUCAAGAUUACCUUAAUGCCUUCGAUGAACUCUAACCAAAAGCAGGUAUAACCAUGGUUUCAAAUAACAACCGUUAUUUACAUGUUUUGAAGGG